GGAACAAAUCCCACUGCAUCACCCAAGGCCAGGCUCUUAGGCCAAAGCAUCUGGAUGACGGUGUGGAAUCACAGGGGCCACCUGAGAGAGUCAGAGGAUGUGCCCCGGACAAGCCCUGGUGACAGCCCAGGAGCAGCAUUCCUUUUUUCACACCUUCAGUGCAAGUGUAAGAAGAAGGCAAUGGCACCCCACCCCAGUGCUCUCGCCUGGAAAAUCCCAUGGACAGAGGAGCCUGGUGGGCCGCAGUCCAUGGGGCGCUAAGGGUCGGACUCGACUGAGCGACUUCACUUUCACUUUUCACUUUCACACAUUGGAGAAGGAAAUGGCAACCCACUCCAGCGUUCUUGCCUGGAGAAUCCCAGGGACGGGGGAGCCUGGUGGGCUGCCAUCUAUGGGGUCGCACAGAGUCGGACACGACUGA
Molecule: long non-coding RNA, 421 nt
Filed under: Capra hircus (goat)
Lineage: Eukaryota; Metazoa; Chordata; Mammalia; Artiodactyla; Bovidae
Description: lncRNA (ENSCHIG00000000556.1)
Source: RNAcentral